This 324-nucleotide ribosomal RNA is filed under the name uncultured eukaryote. Its description in RNAcentral is "partial 18S ribosomal RNA". It matches the Rfam family "Eukaryotic small subunit ribosomal RNA", at positions 1470 to 1796 of the family's 1831-position model. The record is from RNAcentral.
CCCUUAGAUGUCCUGGGCUGCACGCGCGCUACACUGAUGUGUCCAGUAAGCACCUAACCUCUUCCGAAAGGAACGGGUAACCUUUGCAAAGCACAUCGUGAUGGGGAUAGAUUAUUGCAAUUAUUAGUCUUGAACGAGGAAUUCCUAGUAAGCACAAGUCAUCAGCUUGUGUUGAUUACGUCCCUGCCCUUUGUACACACCGCCCGUCGCUCCUACCUAUUGAAUGUUCCGGUGAGCUCUUCGGACUGCGCGGUCUGCAGUUUCUGCGUUCCGUGCGGAAAGUUGCGCAAACCUUAACAUUUAGAGGAAGGAGAAGUCGUAACA